UGGUCUGUCGCUCCGGCCUACGGGGCCGUAGAGGAAAGUCCGGGCAACACAGGACGCCGCAUUUUCUAACGGAAAGCUGGCAGCGAUGUCAGGGAUAAGUGACAGAGAACGACCGCCCGGCGGCGCAAGCAGCCGGGUAAGGGUGAAAAGGCGAGUGUAAGAGACCACCGGGCCGCAUGGCGACAUGCGGCGCCGCACAUCCUGCGGGUUGCAAGGCCAAAUACACCGGCAGUCAAGGAUGGUCCGUCCAUUGCCGGGGGGUAGGCUGCUAUAGCCGGCAGGCAACUGCCGACAAAGAUAAAUGACAGACGCGGAACGGAAAUUGUUCCGUACAUAACCCGGCUUACAGCGCCUCU
This 356-nucleotide RNase P RNA is filed under the name human gut metagenome. RNAcentral describes it as "Bacterial RNase P class A". It matches the Rfam family "Bacterial RNase P class A". Rfam says of the family: Ribonuclease P (RNase P) is a ubiquitous endoribonuclease, found in archaea, bacteria and eukarya as well as chloroplasts and mitochondria. Its best characterised activity is the generation of mature 5'-ends of tRNAs by cleaving the 5'-leader elements of precursor-tRNAs. Cellular RNase Ps are ribonucleoproteins. The record is from RNAcentral.